RNAcentral lists this ribosomal RNA (461 nucleotides) under uncultured bacterium. RNAcentral's name for it is "bacterial SSU rRNA". It matches the Rfam family "Bacterial small subunit ribosomal RNA", at positions 340 to 789 of the family's 1533-position model. The record is from RNAcentral.
UACGGAAGGCAGCAGUGGGGAAUAUUGCACAAUGGGCGAAAGCCUGAUGCAGCUAUGCCGCGUGUAUGAAGAAGGCCUUAGGGUUGUAAAGUACUUUCAUCGGGGAGGAAAAAACAAAACUAAUAAUUUUAUUUCUUGACGUUACCCGAAAAAGAAGCACCGGCUAACUCCGUGCCAGCAGCCGCGGUAAUACGGAGGGUGCUAGCGUUAAUCAGAAUUACUGGGCGUAAAGAGCACGUAGGUGGUUUUUUUAAAGUCAGAUGUGAAAUCCCUGGGCUUAACCUAGGAACUGCAUUUUGAAACUGAAAUACUAGAGUAUCGUAGAGGGAGGUAGAAUUCUAGGUGUAGCGGUGAAAUGCGUAGAUAUCUGGAGGAAUACCUGUGGCGAAAGCGGCCUCCUAAACGAAUACUGACACUGAGGUGCGAAAGCGUGGGGAGCGAAACAGGGAUUAGAUACCCGU